Molecule: long non-coding RNA, 714 nt
Filed under: Pan troglodytes (chimpanzee)
Lineage: Eukaryota; Metazoa; Chordata; Mammalia; Primates; Hominidae
Description: long non-coding RNA NONPTRT015022
Source: RNAcentral
UUUUCCUCCUGAGGUUACUUACCGAAAUGGUGACGUGAGCCUGGAAUGGCCAGGAGCCACUACAUAGUACCUAAAAUAAACCCACACUGCGGGAGGCAGAACUAAGACAGAGAAAAAUGGAAUUCUGAAGAUAUUAUUAGAGCUGCUAUCAAUCUGGCCCUAGCCCCGAACUUUUCAAUUACAUGGGCCAAUAGAUUUUCUCCUCCCACCCCAUCUUCUUGGCUGAAGCCAGUUUGAAUUAGUUUUUGUCUUUUGCCACCAACACUGAGUUUUGAUAUGGAGACAGAUGAAAAGACAGCAUUCCUGAUCCUGAGGCGGCAGACGUAAACUCAAGUGUGAGAAAUUGUUGGGAAGAUUGAAAGAGCAGACUCGAGGAGGCUGUGCUUCAAGAGCAGCUUUCCAGAACCACACCACAGGACUGGCUGCUUCUGGGCCCCACAGCCAUGAUGCCUCUGCACCAAUCAGGAAGCUGCUGGUUUUAGAAUAACCAAAUGUCUCCACCCGUGUUUGCCAGUAAAAUCAUCUCCCUAUGCAUGGUUUCCUCCUCAUGAGGCUUCAUUUUUCCUUCCAUGUUUUGUGAGGAGUCUGUCAUUACUUUUUGCCAUUAAAAGUAAUGGCAAAAACCGCAAUUACUUUUGCACCAGCCUACCUUCCCAAGAGGGGACCUAGCUGUCUGGGAGUCUGGGAAAUGCAGUUUUUAGCUUUCAAGAUUUU